RNAcentral lists this ribosomal RNA (788 nucleotides) under uncultured bacterium. Its description in RNAcentral is "bacterial SSU rRNA". It matches the Rfam family "Bacterial small subunit ribosomal RNA", at positions 560 to 1346 of the family's 1533-position model. The record is from RNAcentral. RNAcentral also lists the same sequence under 1 other name.
GUAAAGAGCUCGUAGGUGGUUUGUCGCGUUGUUCGUGAAAUCUCACGGCUUAACUGUGAGCGUGCGGGCGAUACGGGCAGACUUGAGUACUGCAGGGGAGACUGGAAUUCCUGGUGUAGCGGUGGAAUGCGCAGAUAUCAGGAGGAACACCGGUGGCGAAGGCGGGUCUCUGGGCAGUAACUGACGCUGAGGAGCGAAAGCGUGGGGAGCGAACAGGAUUAGAUACCCUGGUAGUCCACGCCGUAAACGGUGGGUACUAGGUGUGGGUUUCCUUCCUUGGGAUCCGUGCCGUAGCUAACGCAUUAAGUACCCCGCCUGGGGAGUACGGCCGCAAGGCUAAAACUCAAAGAAAUUGACGGGGGCCCGCACAAGCGGCGGAGCAUGUGGAUUAAUUCGAUGCAACGCGAAGAACCUUACCUGGGUUUGACAUGCACAGGACGCCGGCAGAGAUGUCGGUUCCCUUGUGGCCUGUGUGCAGGUGGUGCAUGGCUGUCGUCAGCUCGUGUCGUGAGAUGUUGGGUUAAGUCCCGCAACGAGCGCAACCCUUGUCUCAUGUUGCCAGCGGGUAAUGCCGGGGACUCGUGAGAGACUGCCGGGGUCAACUCGGAGGAAGGUGGGGAUGACGUCAAGUCAUCAUGCCCCUUAUGUCCAGGGCUUCACACAUGCUACAAUGGCCGGUACAAAGGGCUGCGAUGCCGCGAGGUUAAGCGAAUCCUUUUAAAGCCGGUCUCAGUUCGGAUCGGGGUCUGCAACUCGACCCCGUGAAGUCGGAGUCGCUAGUAAUCGCA